CCUCCGCCAACCAUUUCUCUGCACUCGGACGCGAGCCAACCAACCGAAACAGUGACCGGCCACAUACAUAGCAGAAGAGGACUCCGUCGCCCUGCCACCGGCCUCCGCCAUCGAGUACGCAGUCCGCGUUCUUCUUCUUUGCCCGAUCACCUGUCCUUCUUAUGGUGUCUGCUCAACCCGGCGCACCCGAUGGUGGAGGCGGCAGCGGUAACAGAAGAGGAGCAACGGAGGAUGCGCCCCUCGUCAGUCGUCUUCUUCCCCACCGACCUCCUCCACUCAAGUCACUCCCCCGAGCCUCCACCGACGACCCCAGCAAGAAGAUCCGCAAGCCUUACACCAUCACCAAGUCCCGCGAGAGCUGGACCGAGCAGGAGCACGACAAGUUCCUCGAAGCCCUCCAUCUUUUCGAUCGGGACUGGAAAAAGAUAGAAGCAUUUGUUGGCUCGAAGACGGCUAUUCAGAUAAGGAGCCAUGCACAGAAGUAUUUCCUUAAGGUCCAGAAGAAUGGUACAAGUGAACAUGUACCUCCACCUCGACCCAAGCGGAAAGCAGCUCAUCCAUAUCCUCAUAAAGGCCCUAAAAAUGGCACUGCCUCUGUCCAGCUUUCCUGUUUACUUGAACCAGGUGAUGCCCUCGCGGUAGACAUUUCUUCUACACCUGGAAACUCUACCUCGAAAGCGCAAAUGCAUUCCAAGGGUCACAGUUGUCUCCAGCCAGUUACUGCAUCUCACCAAACAGCAGCUGAUACAAGGCCUGCGGGAGUGUCAACGACAAAUAAUUGUUCUACUAGCACAAUCUGCCUUACAACCUGGCCAACUUCCGAAACCGCUGAUCGAGAAAAGCUUACCAUGGAUCCUCGUGAUUUUGCUAAAGUCUACAGCUUUCUCGGAAGUGUCUUUGAGCCUGGCAGUACUGGUCAUUUGGAAAAACUAAAGGAGAUGGAUCCAAUUGAUGUUGAAACAGUGCUGCUUCUGAUGAGGAACUUAGCCUUGAACUUGAUUAGUCCAGACUAUGAAUCCCAUGUGAGUGCACCUGACCUUUUGCCUUAGAAAUUACUUCAAAUCACUUAUUCAAGGUGGUUGGUUUGUAAGUUUCGCAAUCAAAUUUUGUCCAUGUGGCAUUUCUCAUUACAUGAUUGGAUGCUAUGCACAUAGAUGAUACUUCAAUAUCUUUUAGUGAGCACCAAAAACAGAUUGCUAAUACCCAAUUGUUCGACACCAUGGCUAUGAACCAUGGUGUUGAUUUAUGCUGCUACUAUUCAUUCUUCUUUUCUGAAAUAUAUUUGCUCACGCAGAUAAGGUUACUCUCAUCAUCAGCGGACGUGAAAUUCGCUAUCACAAAUAACAUUUUCAGUGCAUGUUGAACUGCUGCUCCUUUCAUGGUUAACCUACUGCAGAUGCUGCCCUGUAACAAUGAGAGUCAUUGAGAUGCAGAGGGCGGGCAAUAAUAAAUUCAAGGGCGGCAAGGGAGGGUGUUUAAGGUAACGAGUGGAGAGGUGGAAGUGAUAUGCAGUCCUUUAAGCUGCCACUAGCCAUCGAUGAUCGACUGAUCAAUGUCAGCUACCAGUUGGAGAUGCUAGCUUGCAGCAAUCAGCAAGACUUAACUGUGAUCAUGGUAAAGAAUCAUAAUCCAUUGCGACUCUGUUGUAGAGAGUAUUAUAAAGAGAUCUCUAUAUAAUUUA
Zingiber officinale is the source of this 1681-nucleotide RNA transcript. It is a transcript of the gene named protein REVEILLE 3-like, with no coding region annotated. NCBI's taxonomy places the organism in Eukaryota, Viridiplantae, Streptophyta, Magnoliopsida, Zingiberales, Zingiberaceae. The transcript has 8 exons. The record is from RefSeq and is a predicted model, not a curated record.